This 861-nucleotide long non-coding RNA is filed under the name Phascolarctos cinereus (koala). Its description in RNAcentral is "lncRNA (ENSPCIG00000031844.1)". Lineage: Eukaryota; Metazoa; Chordata; Mammalia; Diprotodontia; Phascolarctidae. The record is from RNAcentral.
GAUCCCCAGGGACUGUCCAAAGUCUCCCGGGCUUCUAAGGACUCAACCUGGAAUAGCGAUGGAUUUCUAUUCUCCAGGGCCGCGUCAGCCUCAUGCUUGCGGGAUCUAGGCGCUCCACAUACUCUGGAACAGCAGUGUAGUCUGACCAACUUCACUCCGACAGUUUCCAGUUCAAACGGGUGGGGGAACCUGUGGGCAGAGGCCUGGGAAAAGAGAAAUAGUUUGUACAGGCCGGGUAUGGGAGAAAUACUGGAACCUGGAACCUCUUUCUUUCCUACGAACCCAAAUGAGAGACGGGAUGCAGCAUCUAGCCCCUGGAGCUUUUUUGUUACCCUCGAGAGACAGACUCCUGAAAAGUCAGAGCACAGGAGUGCCAGAGAGAUACACAAUGGCCAGUAAAAUCAUCAGAGAAAGAUUGUUAGAGUUUAGAAGCAUAUGGAAUUGAGAGUUUACCAAGUCCAACCCCUUCAUCUUACAAAUGAGGAAACUGAGGCUGAAGGAAAUGAAGGUUUGCUCAAGAUCACACGACUGGUAAGUCAUAGAGCCAGAAUCCCCCUCCCCCUUUGAUCGUGUGACUCCAAAUACAAUGAUCUUUUUGCUAAACCACACCACCUCUAGUAGGAGAAAAGAGGCAACGUGUGAAGUUCAGAAAAUGUGCAGACACGACAAUCGACACCCAUAGAAUGCAGCAUUCACUGACAGGACACCGCACUCUCAGGUCCCCAGCAGCAGCAACUCCUGAGCUCUAGAAGGAUAAGGGAAAGAAUCCUGGAGCCUCGUGUCUGAAGAGAAGAAUAGAUUGUAGAAGAAAAAAGAUUCAAAUGUGUAAUAAAACUUGGAUUGCUAAACUGUCUUUGGUCA